CCAAUCCAAGACUCGCUUCGAUUACCGCGCGACAACUUGCUGCAUCAUGACGACGACUGAGGACACACUGUAGGUUGAUUUACACGCAGAGGACUGCCAGACUUGACGAGCGCAUAAGUGAAGGAGGAGCGAGGAAGUGAUCUAAAAAUGAAUGCACUG
RNAcentral lists this non-coding RNA (159 nucleotides) under Aurantiochytrium limacinum. Lineage: Eukaryota; Bigyra; Thraustochytrida; Thraustochytriidae. The record is from RNAcentral.